This 443-nucleotide ribosomal RNA is filed under the name uncultured Sphingomonadales bacterium. RNAcentral's name for it is "bacterial SSU rRNA". It matches the Rfam family "Bacterial small subunit ribosomal RNA", at positions 335 to 796 of the family's 1533-position model. The record is from RNAcentral. Lineage: Bacteria; Pseudomonadati; Pseudomonadota; Alphaproteobacteria; Sphingomonadales.
GUCCUACGGGGGGCUGCAGUGGGGAAUAUUGGACAAUGGGGGAAACCCUGAUCCAGCAAUGCCGCGUGAGUGAUGAAGGCCUUAGGGUUGUAAAGCUCUUUUACCCGGGAUGAUAAUGACAGUACCGGGAGAAUAAGCUCCGGCUAACUCCGUGCCAGCAGCCGCGGUAAUACGGAGGGAGCUAGCGUUGUUCGGAAUUACUGGGCGUAAAGCGCGCGUAGGCGGCUAUUCAAGUCAGGGGUGAAAUCCCGGGGCUCAACCCCGGAACUGCCUUUGAAACUAGGUGACUAGAAUCUUGGAGAGGUCAGUGGAAUUCCGAGUGUAGAGGUGAAAUUCGUAGAUAUUCGGAAGAACACCAGUGGCGAAGGCGACUGACUGGACAAGUAUUGACGCUGAGGUGCGAAAGCGUGGGGAGCAAACAGGAUUAGAUACCCGAGUAGUCU